GAUGAAGAACGUAGCGAAAUGCGAUAAGUAAUGUGAAUUGCAGAACUCAGUGAAUCAUCGAGUCUUUGAAUGCACAUUGCGCCCCCUGGUAUUCCGGGGGGCAUGCCUGUCCGAGCGUCAUUGCUGCCCUCAAGCACGGCUUGUGUGUUGGGCCUCCGUCCUCCUCCCGGGGGACGGGCCCGAAAGGCAGCGGCGGCACCGCGUCCGGUCCUCGAGCGUAUGGGGCUUCGUCACCCGCUCUUGUAGGCCCGGCCGGCGCUUGCCGACACAUCAAUCUUUUUUCCAGGUUGACCUCGGAUCAGGUAGGGAUACCCGCUGAACUUAAGCAUAUCAAUAAGCGGAGGA
Molecule: unclassified non-coding RNA, 345 nt
Filed under: soil metagenome
Description: partial contains 5.8S ribosomal RNA, internal transcribed spacer 2, and large subunit ribosomal RNA
Rfam family: 5.8S ribosomal RNA (bases 1-120)
Source: RNAcentral